Molecule: unclassified non-coding RNA, 240 nt
Filed under: soil metagenome
Description: partial contains 5.8S ribosomal RNA, internal transcribed spacer 2, and large subunit ribosomal RNA
Source: RNAcentral
AACCAUAGAAACCUGCGGAGUACCUGCGGAAGGAUCAUUAUUGGAAAAAAACUUAUCUAAGUUGCAGGAGGGGGGGAAAAGUGGAAGUGAGUGGGCUUUUCUGGUUCGCUUUUUCACUUUUUCUCUCCUUUCUGCUUCUUCAAACAAACGAUCACAACUAUAGUGUGGGGAAUUUGGAUUGGAUGAUUUGGUGGUGGGGGGAAAACUUAUAUCAAAAGUAUUUGCCUGAUACAAUGUACA